RNAcentral lists this ribosomal RNA (375 nucleotides) under Triticum aestivum (bread wheat). RNAcentral describes it as "partial small subunit ribosomal RNA". The record is from RNAcentral. Lineage: Eukaryota; Viridiplantae; Streptophyta; Magnoliopsida; Poales; Poaceae.
AUGUGGCGAAUAAAAAUAUUGCUCCAAGUAAAGUUACCAAUGAACGAAGACGAAAGACGGGAUGCCUUCCGGGGUAUCCCCAAGAUUAGGCUUUUGGCUAUUCUUGAAUAUCUUGGGGUGCCAUGGGCAUCCCCAAUCUUAGGCUCUUGCCACUCCUUAUUCCAUAGUCCAUCAAAUAUUUACCCAAAACAUGAAAACUUCACAACACAAAACUCAACAGGAAAUCUCAUAAGCUCCGUUAGUGAAAGAAAACAAAACCACCACAUAAGGUACUUAAUGAACUCAUUCUUUAUUUAUAUUGGUGUCAAGCCUACUUUAUUUCAAGUUCUCUCUGGUUCAUACCACUUAAUACUAGUCAUAGAUGCAUCAGAAUAA